RNAcentral lists this ribosomal RNA (253 nucleotides) under uncultured bacterium. RNAcentral's name for it is "partial 16S ribosomal RNA". It matches the Rfam family "Bacterial small subunit ribosomal RNA", at positions 524 to 776 of the family's 1533-position model. The record is from RNAcentral.
UACGUAGGGUGCAAGCGUUAUUCGGAAUUACUGGGCGUAAAGCGUGCGCAGGCGGUGAUGUAAGACAGAUGUGAAAUCCCCGGGCUCAACCCGGGAACUGCAUUUGUGACUGCAUCGCUGGAGUACGGCAGAGGGGGAUGGAAUUCCGCGUGUAGCAGUGAAAUGCGUAGAUAUGCGGAGGAACACCGAUGGCGAAGGCAAUCCCCUGGGCCUGUACUGACGCUCAUGCACGAAAGCGUGGGGAGCAAACAGG